ACUGGGAUAACUCCGGGAAACCGGGGCUAAUACCGGAUAACAUUUUGAACCGCAUGGUUCGAAAUUGAAAGGCGGCUUCGGCUGUCACUUAUGGAUGGACCCGCGUCGCAUUAGCUAGUUGGUGAGGUAACGGCUCACCAAGGCAACGAUGCGUAGCCGACCUGAGAGGGUGAUCGGCCACACUGGGACUGAGACACGGCCCAGACUCCUACGGGAGGCAGCAGUAGGGAAUCUUCCGCAAUGGACGAAAGUCUGACGGAGCAACGCCGCGUGAGUGAUGAAGGCUUUCGGGUCGUAAAACUCUGUUGUUAGGGAAGAACAAGUGCUAGUUGAAUAAGCUGGCACCUUGACGGUACCUAACCAGAAAGCCACGGCUAACUACGUGCCAGCAGCCGCGGUAAUACGUAGGUGGCAAGCGUUAUCCGGAAUUAUUGGGCGUAAAGCGCGCGCAGGUGGUUUCUUAAGUCUGAUGUGAAAGCCCACGGCUCAACCGUGGAGGGUCAUUGGAAACUGGGAGACUUGAGUGCAGAAGAGGAAAGUGGAAUUCCAUGUGUAGCGGUGAAAUGCGUAGAGAUAUGGAGGAACACCAGUGG
This 593-nucleotide ribosomal RNA is filed under the name Bacillus cereus. RNAcentral's name for it is "bacterial SSU rRNA". It matches the Rfam family "Bacterial small subunit ribosomal RNA", at positions 137 to 715 of the family's 1533-position model. The record is from RNAcentral. Lineage: Bacteria; Bacillati; Bacillota; Bacilli; Caryophanales; Bacillaceae.